AGAGCUCAAAUUUAAAAUCUGAUGGUCAAUUUGGCUGUCCGAGUUGUAAGUUAGAGAAGCGUUAUCCGCGCUGGCCUGUGCAAAAGUCUCUUGGAAAAGGGCAUCAUAGAGGGUGACAAUCCCGUCUUUGGCACAGAUCACCAGGGCUUUAGUGAUGCGCUCUCGAUGAGUCGAGUUGUUUGGGAAUGCAGCUCUAAAUGGGUGGUAAAUUCCAUCUAAAGCUAAAUAUUGGCGAGAAACCGAUAGCGCA
Molecule: ribosomal RNA, 250 nt
Filed under: Clavaria aff. incarnata 1 CRJH-2017
Lineage: Eukaryota; Fungi; Basidiomycota; Agaricomycetes; Agaricales; Clavariaceae
Description: partial 28S ribosomal RNA
Rfam family: Eukaryotic large subunit ribosomal RNA
Source: RNAcentral